GUCAUGGCUCAGUGGCAGAGCAUAUGUUUUGCACACAGAAGGUCCCAGGUUCAAUCCCCAGCCAGUUAAGUU
Podarcis lilfordi (Lilford's wall lizard) is the source of this 72-nucleotide non-coding RNA. The record is from the annotation of a GenBank genome assembly. Lineage: Eukaryota; Metazoa; Chordata; Lepidosauria; Squamata; Lacertidae.